CCAAAUGACUCUCGGCAACGGAUAUCUCGGCUCUCGCAUCGAUGAAGAACGUAGCGAAAUGCGAUACUUGGUGUGAAUUGCAGAAUCCCGUGAACCAUCGAGUCUUUGAACGCAAGUUGCGCCCAAAGCCAUUAGGCCGAGGGCACGCCUGCCUGGGUGUCGCA
Molecule: ribosomal RNA, 164 nt
Filed under: Cyathostegia mathewsii
Lineage: Eukaryota; Viridiplantae; Streptophyta; Magnoliopsida; Fabales; Fabaceae
Description: 5.8S ribosomal RNA
Rfam family: 5.8S ribosomal RNA
About the family: 5.8S ribosomal RNA (5.8S rRNA) is a component of the large subunit of the eukaryotic ribosome.
Source: RNAcentral